RNAcentral lists this ribosomal RNA (497 nucleotides) under uncultured bacterium. Its description in RNAcentral is "partial 16S ribosomal RNA". It matches the Rfam family "Bacterial small subunit ribosomal RNA", at positions 28 to 507 of the family's 1533-position model. The record is from RNAcentral.
GAUGAACGCUGGCGGCGUGCCUAAUACAUGCAAGUCGAGCGAACAGAUGAGGAGCUUGCUCCUCUGACGUUAGCGGCGGACGGGUGAGUAACACGUGGAUAACCUACCUAUAAGACUGGGAUAACUUCGGGAAACCGGAGCUAAUACCGGAUAAUAUAUUGAACCGCAUGGUUCAAUAGUGAAAGACGGUUUUGCUGUCACUUAUAGAUGGAUCCGCGCCGCAUUAGCUAGUUGGUAAGGUAACGGCUUACCAAGGCAACGAAGCGUAGCCGACCUGAGAGGGUGAUCGGCCCCACUAGAACUGAGACACCGUCCAGACUACGACGGGAGGCAGCAGUAGGGAAUCUUCCGCAAUGGGCGAAAGCCUGACGGAGCAACGCCGCGUGAGUGAUGAAGGUCUUCGGAUCGGAAAACUCUGUUAUUAGGGAAGAACAAAUGUGUAAGUAACUAUGCACGUCUUGACGGUACCUAAUCAGAAAGCCACGGCUAACUACGUG